RNAcentral lists this ribosomal RNA (352 nucleotides) under Dalmannia nigriceps. Its description in RNAcentral is "partial 12S ribosomal RNA". The record is from RNAcentral. Lineage: Eukaryota; Metazoa; Arthropoda; Insecta; Diptera; Conopidae.
UUUAAAUUAAAAUAGUAAUACUUGAGUAGUAGUAGAUAUGAUCUUGAAACUUAAAAAUUUUGGCGGUAUUUUAGUCUAUUCAGAGGAACCUGUUCUGUAAUCGAUACUCCACGUUGGACCUUACUUAUAUUUGUCUAGUUUAUAUACCGUUGUUAUUGAAUGUUUUAUAAGAAUAAUAAUUUUCUAUAGUUUUAACUAGAAUAGAUAUCAGAUCAAGGUGUAGCAUAUAUAUAAGUAGAAAUGGGUUACAAUAAAAUUAUUUAUACGAAAAUAUUUAUGAAAAAAAUAUUGAAGGUGGAUUUGAUUGUAAAAGUUUAAAGAAUAAAGCUUUGAUUUUAGCUCUAAAAUAUGC